UACGUAGGGUGCAAGCGUUAAUCGGAAUUACUGGGCGUAAAGCGUGCGCAGGCGGUUGUGCAAGACAGAUGUGAAAUCCCUGGGCUCAACCCAGGAACUGCGUCCGAUACUGGUUGGCUUGAAUCCGGGAGAGGGAUGCGGAAUUCCAGGUGUAGCGGUGAAAUGCGUAGAUAUCUGGAGGAACACCGGUGGCGAAGGCGGCAUCCUGGACCGAGAUUGACGCUGAGGCGCGAAAGCCAGGGGAGCAAACGGG
This 253-nucleotide ribosomal RNA is filed under the name uncultured bacterium. RNAcentral's name for it is "partial 16S ribosomal RNA". It matches the Rfam family "Bacterial small subunit ribosomal RNA", at positions 524 to 776 of the family's 1533-position model. The record is from RNAcentral.